RNAcentral lists this ribosomal RNA (434 nucleotides) under uncultured bacterium. RNAcentral's name for it is "partial 16S ribosomal RNA". It matches the Rfam family "Bacterial small subunit ribosomal RNA", at positions 29 to 507 of the family's 1533-position model. The record is from RNAcentral.
AGCGAACGCUGGCGGCAUGCCUAACACAUGCAAGUCGAACGAACCUUUCGGGGUUAGUGGCGGACGGGUGAGUAACACGGUGGAACGUGCCUUUAGGUCCGGAAUAACUCAGGGAAACUUGUUCUAAUACCGAAUGUGCCCUUCGGGGGAAAGAUUAAUCGCCUUUAGAGCGGCCCGCGUCUGGUUAGCUAGUUGGUUGAGGUAAUGGCUCACCAAGGCGACGAUCAGUAGCUGGUCUGAGAGGAUGAUCAGCCACAUUGGGACUGAGACACGGCCCAAACUCCUACGGGAGGCAGCAGUGGGGAAUCUUGCGCAAUGGGCGAAAGCCUGACGCAGCCAUGCCGCGUGAAUGAUGAAGGUCUUAGGAUUGUAAAAUUCUUUCAGCGGGGACGAUAAUGACGGUACCCGGAGAAGAAGCCCCGGCUAACUUCGUG